Molecule: ribosomal RNA, 233 nt
Filed under: uncultured bacterium
Lineage: Bacteria
Description: partial 16S ribosomal RNA
Rfam family: Bacterial small subunit ribosomal RNA
Source: RNAcentral
CGGGACGGGUGAGUAAUGCUUGGGAAUCUAGCUUAUGGAGGGGGAUAACUACGGGAAACUGUAGCUAAUACCGCGUAAUAUCGAAAGAUUAAAGUGUGGGACCUUCGGGCCACAUGCCAUAGGAUGAGCCCAAGUGGGAUUAGGUAGUUGGUGAGGUAAGGGCUCACCAAGCCGACGAUCUCUAGCUGGUCUGAGAGGAUGACCAGCCACACUGGGACUGAGACACGGCCCAG